RNAcentral lists this unclassified non-coding RNA (361 nucleotides) under Hevea brasiliensis (rubber tree). The record is from RNAcentral. Lineage: Eukaryota; Viridiplantae; Streptophyta; Magnoliopsida; Malpighiales; Euphorbiaceae.
AAAAAAAAAGAGAUUUUAAUAUGGAAAUUAAAAAUGAACAUAUUGACUCUUCCAUUAGAACAAACAGCCAUUUGUUGAAGGCAAUAUUAAAUGUUAAGAGAGAUUAAAAAAAGGCCUAAUUACACCAAAAAGCCAAAUCUUUGCAUCAAUUUGCUAUAUAAUCCAAAUCCUCUAAUUUUGGCAAUAUAGGGCCAAUUUUUGAAAUUGGUUGCAAUUUUUUUUAACAAACUCACUAAAUUGGUCAAAAUUGAAACUAAAAUAAUAUUGUAUCCAUUAAAAAAUUAAAAACAUUUUCACGAAUAAAGAAAAAGGAAAAUUGAAUAGAAAAGAGAAAGGGGAGAGAGAAAAGAAAAGAAAAGAA